Molecule: transfer RNA, 72 nt
Filed under: Schistosoma japonicum
Lineage: Eukaryota; Metazoa; Platyhelminthes; Trematoda; Strigeidida; Schistosomatidae
Description: tRNA-OTHER
Source: RNAcentral
GGCUCAGUGGUUCAAUGGUAAAGUGCUCGUCGCGGAGCCAGAGGGUCCUUGGUUCGAUCUCCAACGGGGUCG